AACUUCUAACGGUGGAUCUCUUGGCUCGUGCAUCGAUGAAGAACGCAGCCAGCUGCGAUAAGUAGUGUGAAUUGCAGAACUCAGCGAAUCAUCGGAUCUUUGAACGCAA
Molecule: ribosomal RNA, 109 nt
Filed under: Aurelia sp. 9 sensu Dawson et al. (2005)
Lineage: Eukaryota; Metazoa; Cnidaria; Scyphozoa; Semaeostomeae; Ulmaridae
Description: partial 5.8S ribosomal RNA
Rfam family: 5.8S ribosomal RNA
About the family: 5.8S ribosomal RNA (5.8S rRNA) is a component of the large subunit of the eukaryotic ribosome.
Source: RNAcentral